This 409-nucleotide ribosomal RNA is filed under the name Apocrypta guineensis. RNAcentral's name for it is "eukaryotic LSU rRNA". The record is from RNAcentral. Lineage: Eukaryota; Metazoa; Arthropoda; Insecta; Hymenoptera; Pteromalidae.
UAAACCUGAGAAACCCAAAAGAUCGAAUGGGGAGAUUCAUCAUCAGCGACGUUGGCUUCCGUGUGGAUGCGAUGACUGGGACUUCGGUUCCGCGUCACGCUUUGCUGCGGUAUGUCCGGCGUCGUCGGCGUGCACUUCUCCCCUAGUAGGACGUCGCGACCCGUUGGGUGCUGGCCUACGGUCCGGUUGGUCGACUGUGCGUGCGUUCAGCGUGUGCGCGGCAGACCACUGGNNNCCUGGCCGGCUGCCCGGCGGUAUACAUCGUUAUAAAAUGGUAUUGGGCCGCAUUCAGUGCGUUCUGGCUCGUCGGCAGGCUCGUCUCGCUCGGAUUUACGGACCUAGUGCCGUUGCCGGGCGCUUGGCGUGGCCGUUAGUCGACGAUGUCCUCGGACUGGCUCUCCUUUACCGG